UACGUAGGGUGCAAGCGUUAAUCGGAAUUACUGGGCGUAAAGCGUGCGCAGGCGGUUAUGUAAGACAGAUGUGAAAUCCCCGGGCUUAACCUGGGAACCGCAUUUGUGACUGCAUAGCUGGAGUACGGCAGAGGGGGAUGGAAUUCCGCGUGUAGCAGUGAAAUGCGUAGAUAUGCGGGGGAACACCGAUGGCGAAGGCAGUCCCCUGGGCCUGUACUGACGCUCAUGCACGAAAGCGUGGGGAGCAAACAGG
RNAcentral lists this ribosomal RNA (253 nucleotides) under uncultured bacterium. RNAcentral's name for it is "partial 16S ribosomal RNA". It matches the Rfam family "Bacterial small subunit ribosomal RNA", at positions 524 to 776 of the family's 1533-position model. The record is from RNAcentral.